Molecule: long non-coding RNA, 618 nt
Organism: Hippopotamus amphibius kiboko
Lineage: Eukaryota; Metazoa; Chordata; Mammalia; Artiodactyla; Hippopotamidae
Exons: 3
Source: RefSeq, a predicted model, not a curated record
UGUGCUGAUCACAGGUUCCCAGGGACUAGGUUAAUAUAUUGCAUCUACAAGAUUCAUAGUACUUUUAGCGACCUGCAGCAACACAAUGCAGUGUUUAAGUGACUCUACCGUGCUAUUUGCUGUCUCUUUGAGCAUUUCAGUUUUCUUUCUGUGUUCAUCACCUUUGCAGUUUUGAAGUUUGUCAUCAAAAAGCUUUAACUGUUCCAUCAAGAUUUGUAGCUCUGGCCCAGCAGAGGCACUCAGCAAAUCACUGUCAGAUGAAAGAACGGGUGAGCCGAGGGCUGUGUCUGACAGUGGCUGCCUAACCUCGGGGGAGGACCUCUGGACGUGGAGGACCUUUGGGAGCAUCACGGCCCAUCUGGAUUCGGACGAACCACCUUCCCAGCGCUCCCUAGCUGCAAGGGGCUAGUGGCUGUGACAGCUCAGGUCAUCGGAAUGGGGAUGAGAGCGCAGGGAAACGAGUGAGACACUUGCCUUGGCCAAAAACUUUCAGGCAGCACCAAAAACCCAGUAAUCAAAGUAAAUCUCUGGAUCAUCUUAGUAUCCACGUAAGAGGAAUUGUAUUAAGAGAUUACUUUUCUCGAUUGCCGGAGUGCAUUUGGCGGGGGGGGGGGGGGG